UGAUAUCCAAGGAAGAAAAACCAUAUAGUUCUGGUAAUACGGUCCAGAAGUUUCUACAAGUUACCCAAUAAGUAACUUACUAUGGCAAGAGUCCUUUGUGUC
RNAcentral lists this non-coding RNA (102 nucleotides) under Enterococcus aquimarinus. RNAcentral's name for it is "Guanine sequence". It matches the Rfam family "Purine riboswitch aptamer". From Rfam's summary of the family: Riboswitches are metabolite binding domains within certain messenger RNAs that serve as precision sensors for their corresponding targets. Allosteric rearrangement of mRNA structure is mediated by ligand binding, and this results in modulation of gene expression. Lineage: Bacteria; Bacillati; Bacillota; Bacilli; Lactobacillales; Enterococcaceae. The record is from Rfam by way of RNAcentral.